Molecule: small RNA, 712 nt
Filed under: Pongo abelii (Sumatran orangutan)
Lineage: Eukaryota; Metazoa; Chordata; Mammalia; Primates; Hominidae
Description: processed transcript
Source: RNAcentral
GCAGAGCCGUGGCCCUCUUCUUUGUUCUCUGCUGGAUCCAAGAGUCGGAGUCUCCCUAUGUUUCCCAGGCUGGUCUCGAACUCCUGACCUCAAGUGAUCCUCCCACCUCAGCCUCCCAGAGCGCUGGGAUUGAAGACGUGAGCCACCGCACCUGGCCUGAAUUUUCCUCAGAUUCAAAAAAUCCUGAUGAAGGUUUGGCUAAAAUCUUUGGUGAGUUACCCCCAUCCUUGUGGAACCUCAGGCUGGAUUUGAAGAGUUGCAUGCGUGGUCCUCAUUGUCUCCCAGAUGAAAUUCUGCUGCAAGUGUUUUCCAAGGUUCCGUAUGACCCAUCAUUUGAUGAAACAAGAACAGCAGUCAGAUCCAUUACAAAGAGAGACACACAAAAAAGCUAUUCCCAACAAAAGAGCUUGAACAGUGCUGCAUUUGCAUCAGGUUCAAAUGAGCGAGAGGAACAUUUGGCUAAAAUAUUUGGAACCAGUGUUGUUUGGAAAUCUCCUAAACCAGAAUAUUUCCUUGGCAGUGUGGACAAAAUUCCCGAUAAAGAUCACCUUUCAGAGGAGAAGAGUUUUAAAGAAUCCUCUCUGUUCGACAGGGUUUUAAGAGAGCAGUUAACUACUGUAGAUAAAGAAACACUUCAAGGGGCAGCUAAACCAGAUGCUCACUUUAGGACUAUGCCCUGCGGGCAGCUUCUGCACUUCCUGCAGAGGAACAC